This 484-nucleotide ribosomal RNA is filed under the name uncultured bacterium. RNAcentral describes it as "partial 16S ribosomal RNA". It matches the Rfam family "Bacterial small subunit ribosomal RNA", at positions 29 to 523 of the family's 1533-position model. The record is from RNAcentral.
AGUGAACGCUGGCGGCGUGCUUAACACAUGCAAGUCGAACGAGAACGGGUUAUAGCUUGCUAUAAUUGUCAGCUAAGUGGCGCACGGGUGAGUAAUGUAUAGGUAAUAUGCCUCUUACUAAGGGAUAACAAAUGGAAACGUUUGCUAAUACCUUAUACUCCUUAUUAACAGAAGUUAAUAAGGGAAAGAUUUAUUGGUAAGAGAUUAGCCUGUAUUGUAUCAGUUAGUUGGUGAGGUAAUGGCUUACCAAGACUAUGACACAUAACUGGUUUGAGAGGAUGAUCAGUCACACUGGAACUGAGACACGGUCCAGACUCCUACGGGAGGCAGCAGUGGGGAAUAUUGCACAAUGGACGAAAGGCUGAUGCAGCAACGCCGCGUGGAGGAUGACACAUUUCGGUGCGUAAACUCCUUUUAUAUGAGAAGAUAAUGACGGUAUUAUAUGAAUAAGCACCGGCUAACUCCGUGCCAGCCGCCGCCGUAC